RNAcentral lists this ribosomal RNA (484 nucleotides) under uncultured bacterium. RNAcentral describes it as "partial 16S ribosomal RNA". It matches the Rfam family "Bacterial small subunit ribosomal RNA", at positions 28 to 507 of the family's 1533-position model. The record is from RNAcentral.
AUUGAACGCUGGCGGCAUGCUUUACACAUGCAAGUCGAACGGCAGCGCGGGCUUCGGCCUGGCGGCGAGUGGCGAACGGGUGAGUAAUGCAUCGGAACGUGCCCAGUAGUGGGGGAUAGCCCGGCGAAAGCCGGAUUAAUACCGCAUACGACCUGAGGGUGCAAGCGGGGGACCGAAAGGCCUCGCGCUAUUGGAGCGGCCGACGUCGGAUUAGCUAGUUGGUGGGGUGAAGGCUUACCAAGGCGACGAUCCGUAGCUGGUCUGAGAGGACGACCGGCCACACGAGAACUGAGACACGGCCAAGGCUCCUACGGGAGGCAGCAGUGGGGAAUGUUGGACAAUGGGGGCAACCCUGAUCCAGCCAUGCCGCGUGCGGGAAGAAGGCCUUCGGGUUGUAAACCGCUUUUGUUCGGGAAGAACUCCUCUGGGCUAAUACCCCGGGGGGAUGACGGUUCCGGAAGAAUAAGCACCGGCUAACUACGUG